CUCGCAUUAAAAAGGGCUACUCUAAAGAUCCAGUUUUUCGUGAUCCUCCUCGUGAUCUUCAUAUGACCAUGCUUAAUGGAUUUUGGAUUUUUCAACAACGUCUGUUUGUUCCAGAAUCAGUGCGACUGGACGUUUUACGCCUCUACCAUGACUCUAAACCAGCAGGUCAUCCGGGAAUCCGAAAGACACAAGAACUACUUACCCGAUCCUUUUGGU
Non-coding RNA from Pelobates cultripes (western spadefoot toad), 216 nucleotides. NCBI's taxonomy places the organism in Eukaryota, Metazoa, Chordata, Amphibia, Anura, Pelobatidae. The record is from the annotation of a GenBank genome assembly.